This 460-nucleotide ribosomal RNA is filed under the name uncultured bacterium. RNAcentral's name for it is "partial 16S ribosomal RNA". It matches the Rfam family "Bacterial small subunit ribosomal RNA", at positions 338 to 795 of the family's 1533-position model. The record is from RNAcentral.
CCUACGGGUGGCAGCAGUGAGGAAUAUUGGUCAAUGGACGCAAGUCUGAACCAGCCAAGUCGCGUGAAGGAUGACUGCCCUAUGAGUUGUAAACUUCUUUUGUACGAGGGUAAAUCCCGACACGUGUGUCGUUUUGAAAGUACCUUACGAAUAAGGAUCGGCUAACUCCGUGCCAGCAGCCGCGGUAAUACGGAGGAUUCAAGCGUUAUCCGGAUUUAUUGGGUUUAAAGGGUGCGUAGGCGGUUUGAUAAGUUAGAGGUGAAAUUCCGGGGCUCAACCCCGGCAUUGCCUCUGAUACUGUCGGUCUUGAGUAUAGUAGAGGUAGGCGGAAUGUGUGGUGUAGCGGUGAAAUGCAUAGAGAUCAUGCAGAACACCGAUUGCGAAGGCAGCUUACCGGACUACAACUGACGUUGAGGCACGAAAGCGUGGGGAGCAAACAGGAUUAGAUACCCGAGUAGUC